Molecule: non-coding RNA, 31 nt
Filed under: Mus musculus (house mouse)
Lineage: Eukaryota; Metazoa; Chordata; Mammalia; Rodentia; Muridae
Source: RNAcentral
UACAAUAUGGAGGCCAGGUCCCAGAGCCAGC